GGGUCUGUGGUUUAGUGGGUAAGUCAUCGUCACUUCGAAAUCCACGGAAAACCCAAAAUUAACAAGUUCCAGUAUAAUACUCCCUUAGCAUCAGCAUCAACAACACCACGUUGAUCCCUGCAUGGGAGUGGUCCGGGGUUCGAUUCCCCGCGGAUCCA
Molecule: transfer RNA, 158 nt
Filed under: Neofusicoccum parvum UCRNP2
Lineage: Eukaryota; Fungi; Ascomycota; Dothideomycetes; Botryosphaeriales; Botryosphaeriaceae
Rfam family: tRNA
About the family: Transfer RNA (tRNA) molecules are approximately 80 nucleotides in length. Their secondary structure includes four short double-helical elements and three loops (D, anti-codon, and T loops).
Source: Rfam by way of RNAcentral